CGCGCAACAAAAAGGCGGGGCCAAGAUGAGGUAAAAGCGGGGAGAGGCUUAGAGAAGGUUCCGCCCCUCGGUGACGCAUCCAACCAUUGGAUCUCAUUAUGCCUUCGUCUGCUAGAUUAAAGAGCCAGCUGGUAUCAGAGAUCUCUUGCCUACGGAGUAAAACUACAUUAAAAUAUGCUGGAUACAUAAGAAAUGGACAUGGAUGUGGAUGUGGAAAAAUGGGAAGAUCACACUCAAGACUGCAGGCUUUAGAAACAAGAGCUUAAUAAAGGUCUCCAGAGUUAUGAGAGGAAGCUGUCCAGCUUAGCAGAGGAGAAAAGAGCUUGCAGAAGGCAUAACCAAAAGGGUCGAAACAUCACCUUUUAAUGUGAUGGAUGUGGCAGAGAUUGU
Molecule: long non-coding RNA, 390 nt
Organism: Mauremys mutica (yellowpond turtle)
Lineage: Eukaryota; Metazoa; Chordata; Testudines; Geoemydidae
Exons: 3
Source: RefSeq, a predicted model, not a curated record